CCACACUGCAGCCCCACACCCCAAUUACCAUUCUCCAUUGCAAAAAACAAAAGAAUAAACCUAACAUCCCCUUCAAUCUUCCCCACGCAUGUCACGAUCUCCCCACACCCUUCAUCUUCGCUAUCAAGGGCAGCAAAACUGUGUUCCUUUCCCUUGACCCAUUCCAACCUCUGUCCUUCUUUAAUUAGUUGUGUCGCCAACACGUUCAGAGUGGAGAUGUGACUGUAGCACCCAAGCAUGGUGGAGAUGAUGUGUGGCGUGGCGUUGUGUCGUAAUUGAAAGGUAUGUCUUUGAUGGGGAAGCCGUUGGCGCAAAGGAUCUGUUGUGGCUCGUUAUUUUUUCGUUGAUUUAGUGAGAAAUUGAGAAGAAUGGAGUUGUCCUUGCAAUAUCUAGAGCAUAUGGCUGUUCAAAUCAGAUUGUUGCAGCGCAUGGAAGGAUACUAUGCCAGCUAUUUCGGGUAUUAUGAGGUUGAUGAGAGCAAUCCAUUUGAUUCAUUAUAGUGGCUAAUUCAUGAUUCACAGGCAACUAAGUAGUAAGCUGAUAUCAGAUUCAGAUCGUUCAAUUUAUCUUAUUGGUAGGCCUCCUUUGGUUGGUGGCUCGGUUGGUGUCUUUUAUUUGAUUCUAGUUAUCUGCAGCUAUAGGGAGUCUUAGAAGGAUUUGGAUUUAAGAUUGUUAUUUAUUGUUUUAUUGUAAAAGUUGCUCUUGAGUGCUAAAAUUGAAAUUUUCCUUUUAAUGAAAGUAUGAAAAUGGAGAUCAUUAUUUGACAAGUUUUGUCAUUUAGAUAUUGGUGUUACAGAUGAGAUCUUGUAUAUUUAUUUUUUUUUAUAAAAUAUAGAGAAACAUAUGUAACUUUAGAGAAUAGUUUGGAAAAUGAUUUUUGUGAGAAACAGGCUUGCCAGACUAGAGUGUCAGUCUGUGCGCCGGUCACGGCUUAGGAUUUUGGGUCGUGACAAUAUGCUAAAGUAGCAGUGUACCUACCAUCUUGUAUCUCCCUCAAUAAAAUCAUAGCAUUUACUUGUGGCAUAGUAGGAUUAGGGACACUCUCAAUCUUUGCUCGAACCUUAGAUAAAAUCAUCGUAUAAAGUUGUGAAAGAUUCCAUCCGCCUCAAUGCUAAAGAUCGGCAAUACAAAGCUUAGUGUCAAGUCAAUCCUCUUACUGAACAAAUGUAAGACCCUCGCCCAUGCAACCACCAAUCCCACCAACAAGGGCA
Molecule: long non-coding RNA, 1211 nt
Organism: Lotus japonicus
Lineage: Eukaryota; Viridiplantae; Streptophyta; Magnoliopsida; Fabales; Fabaceae
Exons: 3
Source: RefSeq, a predicted model, not a curated record